RNAcentral lists this non-coding RNA (45 nucleotides) under Schistosoma mattheei. The record is from RNAcentral. Lineage: Eukaryota; Metazoa; Platyhelminthes; Trematoda; Strigeidida; Schistosomatidae.
AUCCAGCUGAAUAGUUUCAAACAGGACGAAACGCGCGUCCUGGAU